AAAUUGAAGAGUUUGAUCAUGGCUCAGAUUGAACGCUGGCGGCAGGCCUAACACAUGCAAGUCGAACGGUAACAGGAAGCAGCUUGCUGCUUCGCUGACGAGUGGCGGACGGGUGAGUAAUGUCUGGGAAGCUGCCUGAUGGAGGGGGGUAACUACUGGAAACGGUAGCUAAUACCGCAUAAUGUCGCAAGACCAAAGAGGGGGACCUUCGGGCCUCUUGCCAUCGGAUGUGCCCAGAUGGGAUUAGCUUGUUGGUGGGGUAACGGCUCACC
RNAcentral lists this ribosomal RNA (272 nucleotides) under Escherichia coli. RNAcentral's name for it is "partial 16S ribosomal RNA". It matches the Rfam family "Bacterial small subunit ribosomal RNA", at positions 1 to 269 of the family's 1533-position model. The record is from RNAcentral. Lineage: Bacteria; Pseudomonadati; Pseudomonadota; Gammaproteobacteria; Enterobacterales; Enterobacteriaceae.